GAUGAACGCUGGCGGCGUGCCUAAUACAUGCAAGUCGAGCGAACAGACGAGGAGCUUGCUCCUCUGACGUUAGCGGCGGACGGGUGAGUAACACGUGGAUAACCUACCUAUAAGACUGGGAUAACUUCGGGAAACCGGAGCUAAUACCGGAUAAUAUAUUGAACCGCAUGGUUCAAUAGUGAAAGACGGUUUUGCUGUCACUUAUAGAUGGAUCCGCGCCGCAUUAGCUAGUUGGUAAGGUAACGGCUUACCAAGGCGACGAUGCGUAGCCGACCUGAGAGGGUGAUCGGCCACACUGGAACUGAGACACGGUCCAGACUCCUACGGGAGGCAGCAGUAGGGAAUCUUCCGCAAUGGGCGAAAGCCUGACGGAGCAACGCCGCGUGAGUGAUGAAGGUCUUCGGAUCGUAAAACUCUGUUAUUAGGGAAGAACAAAUGUGUAAGUAACUAUGCACGUCUUGAGGGGACCUAAUCAGAAAGCCACGGCUAACUACGU
This 496-nucleotide ribosomal RNA is filed under the name uncultured bacterium. RNAcentral's name for it is "partial 16S ribosomal RNA". It matches the Rfam family "Bacterial small subunit ribosomal RNA", at positions 28 to 506 of the family's 1533-position model. The record is from RNAcentral.